RNAcentral lists this long non-coding RNA (2928 nucleotides) under Nicotiana benthamiana. Its description in RNAcentral is "long non-coding RNA (NBEN_LNC036145)". The record is from RNAcentral. Lineage: Eukaryota; Viridiplantae; Streptophyta; Magnoliopsida; Solanales; Solanaceae.
ACUAUUAUAUCUCUGCGUAGAAUAUGUGAGAAAUCGACUCAAUGCAGGAACUUUUAAGGUAAAAUUUUCAUCUCUUUUCUUGAUUCUUUUGUCAUCUUAUUACUGUUUUACAUUUGGAGGAGGGUAAAAAUUUACCCAUUAUCGCUAAUUAAAAACUUAUGUUUGUAUAUUUAAAUCUGCACCCAUUAUCUAAAAGUAGUAGUAAUUGUAGCAGUACUUUGCACUAAAGAUUAAAAGCUUUGAAUUAUUUGUGGGUUUUCCCUUAAAACUGAUGUAGGUCCAAGCAAUUGAAGUAAAACCCAGAAAAGCUGUCCCAUCGGAAAAAACCCUGUAAAGCUAGUACUCACACACUCUUUUUUCAUGAGCAUUUAUAGAUUAUUAUACCUCAGAAUUCCCAUGCUUUUUUUUUGACUAAUUUUGAAGUUGGUGUAUUGAUUUAAGGGAUUCUGAAUUGAAGCAAAUUGGAAAUUCAUGGAUGAGCUUAAACUAUACUUUAUCUCAAUUUUUCAUUUGGCUCGGUGGUGAUUUUGCGAUGAAAAACCAAAGCAAUAACUUUAGGAACUAAAGUUUAAAAAACCUAGUAGAGUCGACACUAGGUAAAUACUUAGCUAGUAUUUAGACAUAGAUUUUAUUGAAACUUGAAAAAAAAGAGUUUUUGAAGUUGUGUUGAAAAAUAAUUUUUGAAAAUUGAAGUUGUAUUUUGGACAUAUAUUUUAUUUGAAGAAAAGUUUGAAGUUUUGUGAGCAAAAGAAAAAAUUUCAUCCAAAAACUGCUCUAAACCAGUUCUUAGGAACUUGAAAUUUUUUGUUUUUUUAUUCAAUACAUGAUCCUAUUUCAUAAACAAACAAUGUUUACAAAUUUUUUUGAAAAAAAGAAGCUAAAAUCUAUUGGAGCUUAACAUUUGUCAAAGUUGUUGUAGAUUAGUUGAGGUGCGUAUAAGUUGGCGCUGUUACCACUAGCUUAGGAGCAAACUUCGUGCGGCCACCUCUAAUCUCUAUGGAGAAAAGCACAAAUACAAAAAUUGAUCAGUGUACUUCAUUGUUUAUCAUUGACUAAUGAUCCUUACCUUUUAUAAUAUAUAUAGUGGGAACUUAAAAGAGCAAGAACAUAAUUGUUAAAAACAAACACAAAGCAAAUUAUGCAGCAGUGGUAAGACAUGCUGCAAUUUUCAUGCCUACACCUUUCUUAUAAUGAUAUCCUUUUAUCUUUUUCCUUUAACAUUCCUUUUCUUUUUAUCCGCUUUGCCAGCUUUUAUGGAUCUGAAUUUUCUCAACAAUAUCUCAUGACAUCUAACAAUAAACUUAUACUAAUAACUAUUCUGGAUGCUUGCAUUAGUUUAUCAGUUUGCCACGAAAUUCAAGAGGACUGCUUACAUUUUGGUUUACUUGUUACUUCAACAAUGAAUUUUGUGAGAAUCAACUAAAACGAAUGGGAUAUUAUUUAUUAUUGAUUAUUUAGUCACUCCACUUGUAUUAUAAAAUGUAGUCAGUACUACUAACUUACAUAUUAUUUAUUAUUGAUUAUUUAGUUGGUUUACUUGUUACUUCAACAAUGAAUUUUGUGAGAAUCAACUAAAACGAAUGGGAUAUUAUUUAUUAUUGAUUAUUUAGUCACUCCACUAUUAUUAUUAAAAGAUGUUUGUUAAUAGCAUCAAGAAUACUAGUGAUGGUUAAAUCCAAGAUAUGGAUUUUUGUUGAGAGAAGAAGUAAUUCUAAGACACUCUUUUAACAAAGUUCUUUUUAUUUCCUUUCAGUUCACAGUAAUUUCUUUAUGUUAUACGCAUUUAAUAAAAUCGUCCUUUCCGGUUGCGCAAUGGUUGAAUAGCUUGGAAUCUGUCUCCCUCCUCGCUCAAAAAUAGAAGACCACAGUACAAGUUUUAAUGGCUCUAGAACUCAGGUAGAGCUGAAAUUCCAAAUGCUAAAUGUGUUAAGAUACACACAACAUUGGCAAACAUUAUGCUUUUUGUUGCAAAAGCUAUGUGUCGUACUUUCUCCUGUAUCUAUAUGUCCUUAAUACUUUGUGGAUGAAGUCCUCUUUUUUGUUUGAUCUCGAUAAUUCCAAUCGAAGUGGUCAGCUGCUGAUAUCAAUUUCAGGAACUGCCUGCCGAUGUGGUCCAAAGUUGACGAGAUUUUAGCACUCAUUGGAAGGCAGAUAAAUUCCAUGCCAUUCUUGAUAAAAAUAGGGAAGUUGGAUUGCUCAUUUUUAUGAAAGAAAAGCAAAGUCAGCUAUCACCUGUUUCAAGUGACAAAAGGGUAAUCGUGCUGAUUAGAAGAUUUAUUCUGUCUUGUGGAGACUAGACAGGUAGAAAAUUCCAUAUGUUUUCUCUAGAAGGAGUUUCACUUAAAUCAGGAGAUUGAUCAUAGUCAAGGAAGGAAGAUAAAGAUGACCGGUUAUUGCUCACAGGGGCUCUUGGAAAGUAUUAAUGAGGAAUCGUUAGAUAUCAUUCUGGCAGAGGAACUGAACUAAGGAUCUACUCUUCCAUGGCUAACAUCUGCAACAGCUCAAGGCUUCAUAUUCCAAGCUAUUGUAUUCUACUUAAAUACGUAAACAGAGUGGAAGUUGUUACUCAAUAUACAAUUAGCUGAAGAAGGUGAUGAUUUAACACUAUUUGGAGUCUUCUCCCUUAAUUAUGUGCAAGGCAAUGCACCUUAUUUGAUUUGAGUUUGUAGUUUACUACCAUAAUCCUUGAUAUUAGUGUGCCUUUUUUUUGAUUUUAUUUAAAAAAUUUUCUUCACUUGAGGGAGUUGGGAUCUUAAGUAACUGCUAGAUUUUGUUUGGUCCCCAGGUCCCUUGACUUUAUGAAUUUAAAAAGCUUAUGGCAAGGAUCAAUCACUGGCUUUUUUAACGAAGAUAUGCAUUUGAGAUUUCAAUUGUCCUGUUGAGGAUUUGUGUGCAUGGGAAUAUGACCAGCUCUAGCUGUUGUAGAAG